CUGGGGCUGCCAGGGGAAUUUAUGUUGUAGCUUCCUUCUUUCAUUUGUCUUACAUCUUCCUGUUCUAAUAUUCUUUCACGGCCUUCUGCUUUCUCUUUCAUCCAUUCCUGCUCUUUGUUUAUUUGUCCUCCACUGCUUCCUUCUUUCUUUCCCCCCCUCCCCCCUUCUCUCUCUUCCACCCCUGUCUCUAGAGACAAGGCGAGUGGCCUGGCUGCCAUCUGCUGCCUGUUUUGAGUGUGUUUGUGCAUGUGUGUUUACCCAAGCUAGGU
This 269-nucleotide long non-coding RNA is filed under the name Pogona vitticeps (central bearded dragon). RNAcentral's name for it is "lncRNA (ENSPVIG00000002568.1)". The record is from RNAcentral. Lineage: Eukaryota; Metazoa; Chordata; Lepidosauria; Squamata; Agamidae.